Molecule: long non-coding RNA, 1067 nt
Filed under: Bemisia tabaci
Lineage: Eukaryota; Metazoa; Arthropoda; Insecta; Hemiptera; Aleyrodidae
Description: lncRNA ENSSSA3NGG013171
Source: RNAcentral
GAAGUGAUUUUUCAAUGCCAGAUCACGUUGCAACUCAGAAUCACUAGCCGAUUGAAGAGGUCUGUCGCUCUCUUAGAGGGAGGAAGACGCGCUCUCAAUCGAUAAGAAUUCGUUGCUGUCUACAGAGCCAUGAAAUUCGUGAAUUUUAAAUUUUUCCGCAAAUUAGUGAAGUUUUCAAUUUUACCCCUCACUCCCCUCCACUCGAAGCCCUCCCACAGUCACGGCUUGUUGACAUGUGAUUUGGCAGCAUUGGCGGCAUCAAGAAGCAAUCUCAUUGGCUAAUCAAAUUAAUUUCAAAAUGGCCGCUGGUGGUAAGUUCUUUGUGUGUGUUUAUUUUUAACUUCAGCCUUGUCGGCUUUUAUGUUUCCCUAAAACGUUCAUUAAUGUUCCUUUUAAAUUUUAAGUUUUCACAAGAUAUUGCUUGAAGUUCAUCGCGUAUUCAUCAUGCCGUGAUUCGGUCGCAGUUGUGAUAUUUCUCCUGCGAUACUUUGGUUCUGUUUGGCGGGGCGCCAUGAUGGUCUGAAGACGUCCUCCGAGUUUGUCCGGGCUUAUUUCGUGAAAAUACCGCUGGAUAAGCCCCGCAUUCAUGUCUCCAUUUAUCGGUAUGUGAGUAAAACGGACCGAAGAUGAAUAAUCAAGAGCAGCAUCAUCCUGCUCCAAUGAGCACUGCCUCUCAUUCGGAAAGAGGCGAUGUCAACAACCGAGAGGCACAUGCCUCUAAUGUUGUGUCGAACGUUGCUAAGUAUUGGGUCUUGACGAAUCUUUUCCCCAAUCCCAUGGCACAGAUCCCGAUGUCAGGAAACCUGGCCCCUCUAGCCCUUUCGAGCACAACCAUAACAGCAAGUGGAGACUCAGGGACCAGUGAUAGUCACACAACAACAACCCAGAGUAUGAAAGGCAUAAAAGUCUUAAGUAAAUCGGGUUCAAGUUCAUCUCAGCAGAUUGAAAAUUCAGUUCAUUGCCAGCCGACGGUCCAUGAAAUCCCACAAAUGGAUGGUGCCCACGAGCAUCAGCUUAUCAGCGGCCUUACUCCUCAACAGCAUCACCAAUUAGUGCAACAGGUAUAG